RNAcentral lists this ribosomal RNA (200 nucleotides) under uncultured bacterium. RNAcentral describes it as "partial 16S ribosomal RNA". It matches the Rfam family "Bacterial small subunit ribosomal RNA", at positions 8 to 237 of the family's 1533-position model. The record is from RNAcentral.
AGAGUUUGAUCCUGGCUCAGAACGAACGCUGGCGGCAUGCCUAACACAUGCAAGUCGAACGCGUCCUUCGGGACGAGUGGCGGACGGGUGAGUAACGCGUGGGAACCUGCCUUGGGGUUCGGGAUAACCCGGCGAAAGCCGGGCUAAUACCGAAUACGUCCUCGGGAGAAAGAUUUAUUGCCCUGAGAUGGGCCCGCGUC